RNAcentral lists this ribosomal RNA (532 nucleotides) under uncultured archaeon. Its description in RNAcentral is "bacterial SSU rRNA". It matches the Rfam family "Archaeal small subunit ribosomal RNA", at positions 341 to 875 of the family's 1478-position model. The record is from RNAcentral.
GCGAAAGCUUUGCAAUAAGCGAAAGCUUGACAGGGCUAUCCCGAGUGCCAUCCGCUGAGGAAGGCUUUUACCCAGUCUAGAACGCUGGGGGAAUAAGGAGAGGGCAAGUCUGGUGUCAGCCGCCGCGGUAAUACCAGCUCUCCGAGUGGUGUGGAUGUUUAUUGGGCCUAAAGCAUCCGUAGCUGGCCAGGUUAGUCCCCUGUUAAAUCCACCGAAUUAAUCGUUGGACUGCGGGGGAUACUGCUUGGCUAGGGGACGAGAGAGGCAGACGGUAUUCCCGGGGUAGGGGUGAAAUCCUAUAAUCCCGGGAGGACCACCAGUGGCGAAGGCUGUCUGCUAGAACGCGCCCGACGGUGAGGGAUGAAAGCUGGGGGAGCGAACCGGAUUAGAUACCCGGGUAGUCCCAGCUGUAAACGAUGCAGACUAGGUGUUUGGACGGCCACGUGCCGUUCUAGUGCCGCAGGGAAGCUGUUAAGUCUGCCGCCUGGGGAGUACGAUCGCAAGAUUGAAACUUAAAGGAAUUGGCGGGGGA